CCUACGGGAGGCAGCAGUGGGGAAUCUUAGACAAUGGGGGCAACCCUNNUCUAGCCAUGCCGCGUGAGUGAUGAAGGCCUUAGGGUCGUAAAGCUCUUUCGCCUGUGAUGAUAAUGACAGUAGCAGGUAGAGAAACCCCGGCUAACUCCGUGCCAGCAGCCGCGGUAAUACGGAGGGGGUUAGCGUUGUUCGGAAUUACUGGGCGUAAAGCGCGCGUAGGCGGAUUAGAAAGUUGGGGGUGAAAUCCCGGGGCUCAACCCCGGAACUGCCUCCAAAACUGCUAGUCUAGAGUUCGAGAGAGGUGAGUGGAAUUCCGAGUGUAGAGGUGAAAUUCGUAGAUAUUCGGAGGAACACCAGUGGCGAAGGCGGCUCACUGGCUCGAUACUGACGCUGAGGUGCGAAAGUGUGGGGAGCAAACAGGAUUAGAUACCCUGGUAGUCCACACCGUAAACGAUGAAUGCCAGUCGUCGGGUAGUAUACUAUUCGGUGACACACCUAACGGAUUAAGCAUUCCGCCUGGGGAGUACGGUCGCAAGAUUAAAACUCAAAUGAAUUGACGG
Molecule: ribosomal RNA, 560 nt
Filed under: uncultured bacterium
Lineage: Bacteria
Description: bacterial SSU rRNA
Rfam family: Bacterial small subunit ribosomal RNA
Source: RNAcentral